UCCAAUGGUGGGCCGAGCGGGGGCGUCGCAAGACGCGCCGGUAUCCGAAGAGGCCGGUAAGGCUAACCCUGUUCGGUUCCACCGCCAGC
This 89-nucleotide non-coding RNA is filed under the name Enterobacter sp. 638. The record is from RNAcentral. Lineage: Bacteria; Pseudomonadati; Pseudomonadota; Gammaproteobacteria; Enterobacterales; Enterobacteriaceae.